UAGGUCAGCUCGUCUGAAGGUCUGCUCUGUUAGGCUUUGAUGGCUGUGGUUAGCUGUGGCCUGGUAGCCACGGUGGCCCGGGGUCAGCCCUGCGGCUCAGCUCCAGUCUGGCCCACAGGUGGUGCUGCCCACGCUGGCUUCACUUCGCAUCGCAGCCUUUGAGGAGGGGGGUAAAUUCGUAGGGCACCGGAUCCUGCCUGUCUCUGCCAUCCGCUCUGGGUACCACUACGUCUGCCUGCGGAACGAGGCCAACCAACCGCUGUGCCUGCCGGCCCUGCUUAUCUACACCGAAGCCUCGGACUACAUUCCUGACGACCACCAGGACUACGCGGAGGCCCUGAUCAACCCCAUUAAGCACGUCAGCCUGAUGGACCAGAGGGCCCGGCAGCUGGCCGCCCUCAUUGGGGAGAGUGAGGCUCAGGCUGGCCAAGAGAUGUGCCAGGACACCCAGUCUCAGCAGCUGGGGUCUCA
Molecule: small RNA, 471 nt
Filed under: Pongo abelii (Sumatran orangutan)
Lineage: Eukaryota; Metazoa; Chordata; Mammalia; Primates; Hominidae
Description: retained intron
Source: RNAcentral